Molecule: long non-coding RNA, 1165 nt
Filed under: Dromaius novaehollandiae (emu)
Lineage: Eukaryota; Metazoa; Chordata; Aves; Casuariiformes; Dromaiidae
Description: lncRNA (ENSDNVG00000009932.1)
Source: RNAcentral
AUGUUUUUUUUAUCUGUGGAAGUGAACUCCCUUGAAUUUUCAUAUUUAGUGGAUUAUCUGAUUGAAUUAGCUAUGCUGAUUUGUCUCAGGGGAAGCUUAUCAUGUUUUUUAAUGGUGAAGAGCUUUGCUUUUCUGUUUGUGGAAGUUUUCAACUUUGAACUGUAAACUAAAAUGAUGAAACAUUAACAACAUGCUUUACUGUCAUAAUAUUGUAUUGCUGACUAGUGAAUUGUCACUUAUAGAUUUAUGCUGAACUUAAAUAGUGUGCAUUUAUACAAUUAAGCCAAGUGAUAGACUGAGGUGUAAUAUUGUUUAGUCAUUAGGAAUGUGUAUUGUUUGCAUUUCUUAAUGUAAUUUAUUAACAAUCUCCAAUGCUGUUGGAAUAAGCACAAGUGCUAAAUUAUCCCUUUUAAGCGUCAUUUAAAAACUGGAGCAGGAUACUAUUAAAAUAAUCAUGUUUGUUACUUAUGUAAACUCAGUCAUUUUUAAAGAGAAUAUUUAAUACUCAGGAUGAUUUCGUAGUUUUACUUUCAACCCUCCAGUGGUUGCAUCCCAUAUUUAGGGACUUCUCUUAAAAUCCUGAUGAGAUGCUGUCAAGUGGGCUGUUAAAAUCUAAGACAAUGUUUUGCCACCAAACAUUUCAUUUUACCUCAUUCCAUAAACUAUAAACCUGUGUCUUCACUUAACUUCCUCAGUAGCUAAAGCUGGUAAACCAGUAUCUUAUAUUGAGGAUUUUGUCCCCUUUCCAUUUGAAAGGGAAUGUCCUGUUCAGACUGCCUGUGCCUCCAAUGUGAGAAUCAGACAUCAGUCACCUACUUUUUACUUUUUCCCUCUAGCCCUGAUGGUGAACUUUAAAAAGAGAAUCUGUGACUUACAAGUUAGAGCUCUACAGACAAAAGAUGAUCUUGCCUUCUACAAAAAUACCACUUGCUUCUAAAUCUCCUAUCUUCUGUACAUACUUCUGCCUCUGUUCUGUGGUUCUGUAGAUCAUUGCUUUAAAUGGCAUCAGAUACUUGUGACCUGCAGAAUCAUUUCACUGAAGCAGUGAGUGUUAAGUUCUUUAAAAAUUAGUCUAUAAGCAGAUCUUUAAUCAAUAUAAAAAGAGGGAGGGAACAAGGAGGAAAGGGCUCUAACUAAAAUAUUCCUUACUUGGGGGAGACGGCGA